AUUGAACGCUGGCGGCAUGCCUUACACAUGCAAGUCGAACGGUAACGCGGGGGCAACCCUGGCGACGAGUGGCGAACGGGUGAGUAAUACAUCGGAACAUAUCCAGUAGCGGGGGAUAACCUAUCGAAAGAUUGGCUAAUACCGCAUACGAUCUACGGAUGAAAGCAGGGGACCGCAAGGCCUUGCACUAUUGGAGUGGCCGAUGUCAGAUUAGCUAGUUGGUGGGGUAAAAGCCUACCAAGGCGACGAUCUGUGGCUGGUCUGAGAGGACGAUCAGCCACACUGGAACUGAGACACGGUCCAGACUCCUACGGGAGGCAGCAGUGGGGAAUUUUGGACAAUGGGCGCAAGCCUGAUCCAGCCAUGCCGCGUGAGUGAAGAAGGCC
This 386-nucleotide ribosomal RNA is filed under the name uncultured bacterium. Its description in RNAcentral is "bacterial SSU rRNA". It matches the Rfam family "Bacterial small subunit ribosomal RNA", at positions 30 to 416 of the family's 1533-position model. The record is from RNAcentral.